GACGAACGCUGGCGGCGUGCUUAACACAUGCAAGUCGAACGGAAAGGCCCUGCUUUUGUGGGGUGCUCGAGUGGCGAACGGGUGAGUAACACGUGAGUAACCUGCCCUUGACUUUGGGAUAACUUCAGGAAACUGGGGCUAAUACCGGAUAGGAUCUCCUGCUGCAUGGUGGGGGUUGGAAAGUUUCGGCGGUUGGGGAUGGACUCGCGGGUUAUCAGCUUGUUGGUGGGGUAGUGGCUUACCAAGGCUUUGACUGGUAGCCGGCCUGAGAGGGUGACCGGCCACAUUGCGACUGAGAGACGGACCAGACGCGUACGGGAGGCAGCAGUGGGGAAUAUGACAGAACGGGCGGACGCGUGAUGCAACGACGCCGCGUGCGGGAUGACGGCUUUCGGGUUGUAAACCGCUUUCGCCUGUGACGAGGCGUUAGUGACGGUAAUGGGUAAAAAAGCACCGGCUAACUACGUG
Molecule: ribosomal RNA, 468 nt
Filed under: uncultured bacterium
Lineage: Bacteria
Description: partial 16S ribosomal RNA
Rfam family: Bacterial small subunit ribosomal RNA
Source: RNAcentral